Long non-coding RNA from Lolium perenne, 559 nucleotides. RefSeq lists it as uncharacterized. The record is from RefSeq and is a predicted model, not a curated record. NCBI's taxonomy places the organism in Eukaryota, Viridiplantae, Streptophyta, Magnoliopsida, Poales, Poaceae.
GACCCGCUCUGGUGCGAAGAGGAAUUAAGAGACGGGUGCAUCAUCACCCUCCCUCGAGGAUCUCGUGCCUGUAGCAGGGACGGACUUAUCACCGCUAGGGCUAGUUGUUCCCAUAGGUCGACCCACCGAAUUCCUCGGUGACGGUGACUGAGUCUGAGUUGUGGGUAAUCGGGACCCUCACUACCAUACUAGUCAAGCGGGAUAAGCAGUUACUUGAUGCCUUCGAUGAGGGCCUCAAGCAAGACAAUGGCGAGAUAUAACUUCUGUUGAGCCACCAACAUGAUGAGUAUGUGCAAUAAUGAAUUGGAGGAGAUGAUUGACAUCCUCAACCAGAAGAUUGAGGCCCAACACCAAGAAGCCGAGCUUCUCCACAAGGAGCUCGCGCUGGCCAAGGAGGGGUGAUUCUUAGAUUGCCGAUCAUCUUCAUAUUGCCUCAAGGGUGGGAAGUUCUCAUGUUUAACUAGUUUAAUUAUGUUUAAGUUUGUGUCUAUCUUUAACAGUCAGUGUUUAUGUUGCCAUCGAACAUAUACAUAUAUGUUUUAAUCAGUAUGUUCUAUAA